UUGAACGCUGGCGGCAGGCCUAACACAUGCAAGUCGAGCGGAUGAAGGGAGCUUGCUCCUGGAUUCAGCGGCGGACGGGUGAGUAAUGCCUAGGAAUCUGCCUGGUAGUGGGGGAUAACGUCCGGAAACGGGCGCUAAUACCGCAUACGUCCUGAGGGAGAAAGUGGGGGUUCUUCGGACCUCACGCUAUCAGAUGAGCCUAGGUCGGAUUAGCUAGUUGGUGGGGUAAAGGCCUACCAAGGCGACGAUCCGUAACUGGUCUGCGAGGAUGAUCAGUCACACUGGAACUGAGACACGGUCCAGACUCCUACGGGAGGCAGCAGUGGGGAAUAUUGGACAAUGGGCGAAAGCCUGAUCCAGCCAUGCCGCGUGUGUGAAGAAGGUCUUCGGAUUGUAAAGCACUUUAAGUUGGGAGGAAGGGCAGUAAGUUAAUACCUUGCUGUUUUGACGUUACCAACAGAAUAAGCACCGGCUAACUUCGUG
Molecule: ribosomal RNA, 483 nt
Filed under: uncultured bacterium
Lineage: Bacteria
Description: partial 16S ribosomal RNA
Rfam family: Bacterial small subunit ribosomal RNA
Source: RNAcentral